UACGUAGGGUGCAAGCGUUAAUCGGAAUUACUGGGCGUAAAGCGUGCGCAGGCGGUUUUGUAAGUCUGUCGUGAAAUCCCCGGGCUCAACCUGGGAAUUGCGAUGGAGACUGCAAGGCUAGAAUCUGGCAGAGGGGGGUGGAAUUCCACGUGUAGCAGUGAAAUGCGUAGAGAUGUGGAGGAACACCGAUGGCGAAGGCAGCCCCCUGGGCCAAUACUGACGCUCAUGCACGAAAGCGUGGGGAGCAAACAGG
This 253-nucleotide ribosomal RNA is filed under the name uncultured bacterium. RNAcentral describes it as "partial 16S ribosomal RNA". It matches the Rfam family "Bacterial small subunit ribosomal RNA", at positions 524 to 776 of the family's 1533-position model. The record is from RNAcentral.